RNAcentral lists this ribosomal RNA (551 nucleotides) under Salmonella enterica subsp. enterica serovar Thompson. RNAcentral describes it as "partial 23S ribosomal RNA". It matches the Rfam family "Bacterial large subunit ribosomal RNA", at positions 1 to 591 of the family's 2925-position model. Lineage: Bacteria; Pseudomonadati; Pseudomonadota; Gammaproteobacteria; Enterobacterales; Enterobacteriaceae. RNAcentral also lists the same sequence under 1 other name. The record is from RNAcentral.
GGUUAAGCGACUAAGCGUACACGGUGGAUGCCCUGGCAGUCAGAGGCGAUGAAGGGCGUGCUAAUCUGCGAUAAGCGCCGGUAAGGUGAUAUGAACCGUUAUAACCGGCGAUACCCGAAUGGGGAAACCCAGUGUGACUCGUCACACUAUCAUUAACUGAAUCCAUAGGUUAAUGAGGCGAACCGGGGGAACUGAAACAUCUAAGUACCCCGAGGAAAAGAAAUCAACCGAGAUUCCCCCAGUAGCGGCGAGCGAACGGGGAGGAGCCCAGAGCCUGAAUCAGCAUGUGUGUUAGUGGAAGCGUCUGGAAAGACGCGCGAUACAGGGUGACAGCCCCGUACACAAAAGCGCAUGUGCUGUGAGCUCGAUGAGUAGGGCGGGACACGUGGUAUCCUGUCUGAAUAUGGGGGGACCAUCCUCCAAGGCUAAAUACUCCUGACUGACCGAUAGUGAACCAGUACCGUGAGGGAAAGGCGAAAAGAACCCCGGCGAGGGGAGUGAAAAAGAACCUGAAACCGUGUACGUACAAGCAGUGGGAGCACCCUUUGGGG